This 64-nucleotide transfer RNA is filed under the name Scolytinae sp. BMNH 1040351. Its description in RNAcentral is "tRNA-Glu". The record is from RNAcentral. Lineage: Eukaryota; Metazoa; Arthropoda; Insecta; Coleoptera; Curculionidae.
AUUUGUAUAGUUUAUAAAAAUAUAGCUCUUUCAGUGCUAAGUUAGACCAUAGGUCUUACAAAUA